This 379-nucleotide long non-coding RNA is filed under the name Apteryx rowi (Okarito brown kiwi). RNAcentral describes it as "lncRNA (ENSARWG00000008090.1)". Lineage: Eukaryota; Metazoa; Chordata; Aves; Apterygiformes; Apterygidae. The record is from RNAcentral.
GUUAACACAUGGCUGCCAGGUUGGAUUGUGCUAAUUUUAUUUGUGCAGUUCAGUCUUCAGUGAUGUAGGGAGGAGUACGAAACAAUACUGAGACCAUAUGUUCCGAUUAACACAACUGAAUUCAAAGCAAUGCUUUUCCCUGCUCAGCUGGAAAACAAGCCCACAGUUUUCAGUGCUGCCAUAUAAGUGUUCAGAAGUAAGAUGACAAAGAAACAUAGAAAGAUCCCUUAAUUCACAUCAAAUAAGAACAGCAGGAGCUGUCUCUGCUGUUGGAAGGCCAUGGGGAGCUAUGUCAGUCCUGAGGAAAGGAGGAAGGACCAGCUGGAAGGAAAGAGAAACGGGAAAAGGAGCAUGGAUCUCAUUCCACAUCUCAUAAAAG